This 520-nucleotide ribosomal RNA is filed under the name uncultured Glomus. Its description in RNAcentral is "SSU rRNA". It matches the Rfam family "Eukaryotic small subunit ribosomal RNA", at positions 569 to 1091 of the family's 1831-position model. The record is from RNAcentral. Lineage: Eukaryota; Fungi; Glomeromycota; Glomeromycetes; Glomerales; Glomeraceae.
AGCAGCCGCGGUAAUUCCAGCUCCAAUAGCGUAUAUUAAAGUUGUUGCAGUUAAAAAGCUCGUAGUUGAAUUUCGGGAUCAAAUUGUCGGUCGUGCCUCGGUACGUACUGGCGUUAUUGGUUCCUCCCUUCUGAAGAACCGCGAUGUCAUUAAUUUGGUGUCGCGGGAAAUCAGGACUGUUACUUUAAAAAAAUUGAGUGUUUAAAGCAGGCUCGCGCUUGAAUACAUUAGCAUGGAAUAAUGAAAUAGGACGUUUGAUUCUAUUUUGUUGGUUUCUAGGAUCGACGUAAUGAUUAAUAGGGAUAGUUGGGGGCAUUAGUAUUCAGUUGUCAGAGGUGAAAUUCUUGGAUUUAUUGAAGACUAACUACUGCGAAAGCAUUUGCCAAGGAUGUUUUCAUUAAUCAAGAACGAAGUUAGGGGAAUCGAAGACGAUCAGAUACCGUCGUAGUCUUAACCAUAAACUAUGCCGACUAGGGAUCGGGAUGAUGUUAAUUUUUAAUGUACUCAUUCGGCGCCUUAC